AUUCCAGCUCCAAUAGCGUAUACUAAAGUUGUUGCAGUUAAAAAGCUCGUAGUUGAAUUUCUGGUCUUGGACAGCGGUCUGCCUCAAAAGAGGUACGUACCAUCUAUCCGAGUCCAUCCUCGGGGAAAACAUGUGUGUGAUUCAGUUCAUGUGCAUGGGAUCCUCGUCAUUUACUGUGAGCAAAAUAGAGUGUUCAAAGCAGGCUUAUGCCGUUGAAUAUUUUAGCAUGGAAUAAUAAGAUAAGACCUUGGUCUAUUUUGUUGGUUUGUACUCCAAGGUAAUGAUUAAUAGGGACAGUUGGGGGUAUUCGUAUUCAAUUGUCAGAGGUGAAAUUCUUGGAUUUAUUGAAGACGAACUACUGCGAAAGCAUUUACCAAGGAUGUUUUCAUUG
Molecule: ribosomal RNA, 391 nt
Filed under: Chrysophyceae sp.
Lineage: Eukaryota; Chrysophyceae
Description: partial small subunit ribosomal RNA
Rfam family: Eukaryotic small subunit ribosomal RNA
Source: RNAcentral